UUUCGCUUUUCAUAUAACCUUCAUAUAUACUCGAUAAUAUGGAUCGGAUGUUUCUACCAAAUCACCGUAAAUGAUUUGACUAUGAAGGCAGAUUUUAUUUGG
Molecule: non-coding RNA, 102 nt
Filed under: Bacillus sp. CECT 9360
Lineage: Bacteria; Bacillati; Bacillota; Bacilli; Caryophanales; Bacillaceae
Description: Purine
Rfam family: Purine riboswitch aptamer
About the family: Riboswitches are metabolite binding domains within certain messenger RNAs that serve as precision sensors for their corresponding targets.
Source: RNAcentral